AGCGAACGCUGGCGGCAGGCCUAACACAUGCAAGUCGAACGGAUCCUUCGUGAUUAGUGGCGGACGGGUGAGUAACACGUGGGAACGUGCCCUUUGGUUCGGAACAACUCAGGGAAACUUGGGCUAAUACCGGAUGUGCCCUUCUGGGGAAAGAUUUAUCGCCAUUGGAGCGGCCCGCGUCUGUUUAGCUAGUUGGUGAGGUAACGGCCCAUCAAGGCGACGAUCAGUAGCUGGGCUGAGAGGCUGAGCAGCCACACUGGGACUGAGACACGGCCCAGACUCCUACGGGAGGGAGGAGUGGGGAAUCUUGCGAAAUGGGCGAAAGCCUGACGCAGCCCUGCCGCGUGAAUGAUGAAGGUCUUAGAGAUGUAAAAUUCUUUAAGCGGCGACGAUAAUGACGGUACCCGCAGAAGAAGCUCCGGCUAACUUCGUG
RNAcentral lists this ribosomal RNA (433 nucleotides) under uncultured bacterium. RNAcentral describes it as "partial 16S ribosomal RNA". It matches the Rfam family "Bacterial small subunit ribosomal RNA", at positions 29 to 507 of the family's 1533-position model. The record is from RNAcentral.